Long non-coding RNA from Oncorhynchus tshawytscha (Chinook salmon), 1161 nucleotides. NCBI's taxonomy places the organism in Eukaryota, Metazoa, Chordata, Actinopteri, Salmoniformes, Salmonidae. The record is from Ensembl.
AUUAAAUCAAAUCACAUUUUUAUUUGUCACAUGCUUCGUAAACAACAGGUGAAACUAAGAGUGAAAUGCUUACUUACGGGUCCAUUUUCUAACAAUGCAGUUAAAGUUGUAAUAGAAAAUAUAAUAUUGACACAAGGAAUAAAUACACAGUUAAUAACAAAUAACAAUGACGAGUAAAAAAAACAUGGCUAUAUUAAUAUAGGAAGUACCAGGUAAUAACAUGGCUAUAUUAAUAUAGGAAGUACCAGGUAAUAACAUGGCUAUAUUAAUAUAGGAAUUACCAGGUAAUAACAUGGCUAUAUUAAUAUAGAAAGUACCAGGUAAUAACAUGGCUAUAUUAAUAUAGGAAGUACCAGGUAAUAACAUGGCUACAUACAGGGAGUACCAGGUAAUAACAUGGCUACAUACAGGGAGUACCAGGUAAUAACAUGGCUAUAUACAGGGAGUACCAGUACCGAGUCAAUGUGCAGGGGUAUGAAGUAAUUGAGAUUGCUAGUGUGAAAGUGUGUGUGAGUUAGUUAGUGAGUGAGUGUGUGUGUGUGUGUGUGUGUGUGUGUGUGUGUGUGUGUGUGUGUGUGUGUGUGUGUGUGUGUGUGUGUGUGUGUGUGUGUGUGUGUGUGUGUGUGUGUGUGUGUGUGUGUGUGUGUGGCGUCAGUAUGCAUGUUGUGUGCAUGUUAUGUGUGUGUGGGCAUAUGUGGUGUGUGUGUUGUGGUGUCAGUGUAAGUCUCUGUGAGUGUGUGGGUAGAGUCCAGUGUGUGUGUGCAUAAAGUCGGUGCAUGAGAGUUGGUGCAAAAAGGGUCAAUGCAGGUAGUCUGGGUAGCCAUUUGAUUAGCUAUUUAGCCGUCUUGUUUAGAAGUCUUAUGGCUUGGAGGUAGAAGCUGUUCAGGGUCCUAUUGGUUCCAGACUUAGUGCACUGGUACCACUUGCCAUGUGAUAACAGAAAGAACAGUCUAUGGCUUGGGUGGCUGGAGCCUUUGACCCUUUUUUGGGCCUUCCUUUGACACUGCCUGGUAUAGGGGUCCUGGAUGGCAGUCAGCUCGGACCGAGUGAUGUAUUAGGCCGUACUCAUAACCCUCUGUAGAGGGUUAUUACGGUCGGGUGCAUUAUAGUUGCCGUACCAAGCGGUGAUGCAGCCAGUCAAGAUGCUCUCAAUGGUGCAGC